Molecule: ribosomal RNA, 253 nt
Filed under: uncultured bacterium
Lineage: Bacteria
Description: partial 16S ribosomal RNA
Rfam family: Bacterial small subunit ribosomal RNA
Source: RNAcentral
UACAGAGGGUGCGAGCGUUAAUCGGAAUUACUGGGCGUAAAGCGCACGUAGGCGGCUUGGUAUGUCGGGUGUGAAAUCCCCGGGCUCAACCUGGGAACUGCAUCCGAAACUGCCUUGCUAGAGUAUGGGGGAGGGAAGUGGAAUUUCCGGUGUAGCGGUGAAAUGCGUAGAUAUCGGAAGGAACAUCAGUGGCGAAGGCGACUUCCUGGACCAAUACUGACGCUCAGGUGCGAAAGCGUGGGGAGCAAACAGG